GGGACCUUAACUUAGCUGGUAGAGUGUCUGCCUUGCACGCAGAAAGUCAGGAGUUCGACUCUCCUAGGUUCC
This 72-nucleotide transfer RNA is filed under the name Kirchneriella aperta. RNAcentral describes it as "tRNA-Ala". It matches the Rfam family "tRNA". Rfam says of the family: Transfer RNA (tRNA) molecules are approximately 80 nucleotides in length. Their secondary structure includes four short double-helical elements and three loops (D, anti-codon, and T loops). Further hydrogen bonds mediate the characteristic L-shaped molecular structure. tRNAs have two regions of fundamental functional importance: the anti-codon, which is responsible for specific mRNA codon recognition, and the 3' end, to which the tRNAs corresponding amino acid is attached (by aminoacyl-tRNA synthetases). tRNAs cope with the degeneracy of the genetic code in two manners: having more than one tRNA (with a specific anti-codon) for a particular amino acid; and 'wobble' base-pairing, i.e. permitting non-standard base-pairing at the 3rd anti-codon position. Lineage: Eukaryota; Viridiplantae; Chlorophyta; Chlorophyceae; Sphaeropleales; Selenastraceae. The record is from RNAcentral.